UAACAAAUAUAAUAUAUGUAAUGUCUACUUCAAUUAAACUAAAAACAUUUACAAAUUUAGUAAAGGUGAUAGAAAUUUAUUUUGAAUAAUAGAAGUACUGAGCAGGAAACGACCUUAAUUGAUUAAAUAGAAAAAAUAAACCUUUGUACCUUUUGCAUCAUGGUUUAGCUAGAUUUAUUUUUCGUAAGAAAUUUCUCGAAACCUAAUGGGCUAUUUUUAGUCGGCAAUAUUAGAUGCCUAAAAACUAAUUGUGGCAAAAAUUUUUUUAGAACUAAAAAUAGAAAUGAAAUUUUAUUCGUAUUAGGUGAUAGCUAGUUCUUUUCUAAAAGUAUAGAAGUACUGCAAAUUUUUUUGUAUCACAGGAUAUUUUACCUUUGGUAUGGAUAGAAAUUUAGUUAGGCUUUUGAGGAUAAGCUCAAAAGCAUAAUAAUAUGUAUUUUAAAUGCCAAGAAGUUAAAUUUAGGCUUGAAAAUGGCCACUAUGUAUGAUUUUGUUAUAAUUUCAUUACUCCUAUCAGCAUAAAAUCGAUUUACUUUUUAUUAAGAAGAGAAAACUUUUUAAUUGAACAAAAAGCUAAGCACAUGCUAAAAUGAGUAUCAAUUAAAUUAUAUUUUUUAUUAUCUUAAAUAUAUAAACUAAAUAAAAAAUACCAAUUAUAAAUUGUUAAAAGGAACUCGGCAAAACCCAAUUCCGCCUGUUUAUCAAAAACAUGGCUCCCUGUUUUUUCACAUAGGGAGUCGGACCUGCUCGGUGAAUAUAUUUUAACAGCCGCGGUACUCUGACCGUGCAAAGGUAGCAUAAUCAUUUGCCUUAUAAUUGAAGGCUAGUAUGAAUGGUUUGACGAGAAUUGAGCUGUCUCUUUUCAACUAAAUAUAAUUUUAUUAAUAGGUGAAGAAGCCUAUAUUUCAUUGAAAGACAAGAAGACCCUAUCGAGCUUUAAGGAAUUUAAUAGACUCGCCAUAUAUUUAUAGAAAAACGAGACUACUAAAAACUUUGGUUGGGGCGACUGAGGAACAAAUAAAGCUUCCUCUUGAUGUUAAAUAUAACUUACAGGUAUUGAUCCAAUAAAUUUGAUUAAAGGAAUUAGUUACCGUAGGGAUAACAGCAUAAUCCCCUUUGAGAGUCCUUAUCGAAAAGGGGGUUUGUGACCUCGAUGUUGGACCAGAAUACCCAGAAGAUGCAGCCGUCUUCAAUGGUUGGUCUGUUCGACCAUUAAAAUUCUACGUGAUCUGAGUUCAGACCGGCGUGAGCCAGGUCAGUUUCUAUCUUCAAUUUUGACAGUGGCCUUAGUACGAAAGGACCAGGCUACUACAAAAUAAUUUGUAGCACAUUGAUUUAAUAUAAAUAAUAAUUAAGUUGAUAAAC
Molecule: ribosomal RNA, 1365 nt
Filed under: Concholepas concholepas
Lineage: Eukaryota; Metazoa; Mollusca; Gastropoda; Neogastropoda; Muricidae
Description: LSU rRNA
Rfam family: Bacterial large subunit ribosomal RNA
Source: RNAcentral